GAAUGGCCUACUCCUGCACCUAAUUUCUAUGUUUCUAUGAUGUAUCUUGAUCCAAGAGAUAAAUUUUGGACCAAUCUUAAAUUUUUCAAGUGUAUUGAAUAAGUAUUACCAUACUACUCUAUCAAACGCUUUCUCGGCAUCGAGUGAGAUGACACAUUCUGGGGUUUUAUUAGAUGCUGUAUAUACAAUAUUCAUUAAUCUCCUAACAUUAAAGUACGAGUAACGAUUUUUAAUAAAACCUGUCUGAUCUUCAGAGAUAAU
This is a long non-coding RNA of Amblyraja radiata (thorny skate), 261 nucleotides long. RefSeq lists it as uncharacterized. Lineage: Eukaryota; Metazoa; Chordata; Chondrichthyes; Rajiformes; Rajidae. The transcript has 3 exons. The record is from RefSeq and is a predicted model, not a curated record.